AUUCUCAUUAGGAUAUUGUCCUACUUCUGAUUGGCUAGCAGUAGGUAUGGAGAGCAGUAGUGUUGAAGUCCUUUGUGUGAGUGGUCCAGAUAAGUAUCAGUUACAUUUGCACGAGUCUUGUGUACUGUCACUCAAGUUUGCUCACAGUGGUAAAUGGUUUAUAACUACAGGAAAGGAUAAUCUACUAAAUGCAUGGAGAACACCUUAUGGUGCUAGUAUAUUCCAGAUGUCUGAAAGCAGUAGUGUUUUAAGCUGUGACAUAUCAGUCGACGAUCGUUUUAUUGUUACUGGAUCUGGAGACAAGAAGGCUACAGUGUAUGAAGUUAUACUAUGAGUAGGUGAUAUUUGACUUGUAAUGAAUAAUGCAAUCUACACUUGAGUUUAGUCUCUUUGUUACAAGUACUGACUACAAAACUCUCAUGUAAUAUAAAAUCUCUAAUAAUUCCAGUUAAGAUAUUGUUUGUCAUGUUUGCUAUAA
RNAcentral lists this long non-coding RNA (478 nucleotides) under Amphimedon queenslandica. RNAcentral describes it as "uncharacterized LOC109593637". Lineage: Eukaryota; Metazoa; Porifera; Demospongiae; Haplosclerida; Niphatidae. The record is from RNAcentral.